RNAcentral lists this ribosomal RNA (301 nucleotides) under uncultured bacterium. Its description in RNAcentral is "partial 16S ribosomal RNA". It matches the Rfam family "Bacterial small subunit ribosomal RNA", at positions 509 to 807 of the family's 1533-position model. The record is from RNAcentral.
CAGUAGCCGCGGUAAUACGUAGGUGGCGAGCGUUGUCCGGAAUCAUUGGGCGUAAAGGGCUCGCAGGCGGUUUCUUAAGUCUGAUGUGAAAGCCCCCGGCUCAACCGGGGAGGGUCAUUGGAAACUGGGAAACUUGAGUGCAGAAGAGGAGAGUGGAAUUCCACGUGUAGCGGUGAAAUGCGUAGAGAUGUGGAGGAACACCAGUGGCGAAGGCGACUCUCUGGUCUGUAACUGACGCUGAGGAGCGAAAGCGUGGGUAGCGAACAGGAUUAGAUACCCCGGUAGUCCCUGUCUCUUAUAC